Molecule: long non-coding RNA, 1226 nt
Filed under: Theobroma cacao (cacao)
Lineage: Eukaryota; Viridiplantae; Streptophyta; Magnoliopsida; Malvales; Malvaceae
Description: long non-coding RNA (TCAC_LNC005957)
Source: RNAcentral
AAGAACAAGAACCCUAGGUGGAGGAUUUCAAGAGAAAAAGUGUGAAAAAUCAAGGAAAACAAGUGAAAAAGGUAGGAUUUCUCAAUUUAAACUCGAAAUCUAUUUUCCUUAAACGUUUUUCCUUAUUUUUCAUGGUUAAAUUUCAUGUUUUCAUGGUGAAUUCAUUUCUAGCCGAAUGGGUAUGGAGAGAGAAUGAUGUUGGAUUGAUUUGAUUUCAAGUUAUGUUAGUGUUUUUAGUUAGUUUACCAUGUCUAGAAGCAAAACAAUAAGAAAAGAAUUCAUUUUCCACAUCACCCAUCAAUGGCCGAACCUACCUUGUAUUGAGUGAGGAUGAAUUUGAUUUUUAUUUUAAGAGAAUUGGUUAGAAAAUGAUGAAUUAUGGUGUGGAAAAGUAGUAGGAAAAAUCACGAUGUUAAUGCUCCAUUAUUGACCAAAAAUUCUAAAAAGAAAAGUGAAGAUAGUUUUGCCAAAUUUUAGGUUAUUUGAUUUGUGUUUGGUGAAUUAACGUAUUAGAAAAGAAAUGGAGCAAUUUGGAGCUAAAUUGGACGCGUUGGCCAAUUAAUCGAGUGAUAAGAUGAAUUAGGCCAAUAUUGGGUUUAGAUGGUUACCCGUGCAUUUUGCAUUCCAUAUCAUCCAUUAGUAGUCUAAAUUAGUUUAAUUUUGAUUUAGUACCAACGUAGUAAGUUUCUUGAUUUGUACUAUGUCAAGGUGAUGAGUCCUCCGAUAAAGGCAAGGAAAUUGCAUCUGAGGACCAGUAGUCAGAGUACUUCAAAAAUUCGCACUCUAGACAUUGUGAGUAACCUUACUAUCGUCUUAAUUAUCUAAAGUGGUUUUUAUCCGAUUUUGUGAAUUUCAUGAAAAAUGAAUUAAAUGAUUGAUUUUUCGGUUUUAUAAACCAAAUGUGAUUUAAUGAAAUAAUUUCAUAAAAUUGUUUUAAAAUUGAAUAAUGGCUUUGAAAAUAGAGUAAUUGGAGGCCAUUUCAUGUGUUGUAAAUUCAUGGUUUGAAUCGAAUGGCUUAUGACAAUAUUUGCAUGAAUGGCUGAAUCGGUAUUUGUGUUGAAAUAUAUGAACUGUGUAUUUAGCCUUGAAAGGCUGUGAAUUACAAUAAUUGCCAUAUCAUGUAUUGAAUUAUAUUGAUUAGUGGGAUAAUUAUUAGCUUACUGCAGUGGACGGGUUUCCGUGGACCAGCCUAUUAAAGGGGCACGGUAAACCCCAUUAUAUCUUAC